GGACGUCUUCUCUUUCUUUUCCUGAUACCUUGAACUUGCUUGUGGCGCAGGCGCCGCAACAAUGGGUAGAUAGGUGGAUGUGUGUGUGGAUGAGAGAUGAAUACAUGGGUGAACAGGUAGAUUUGUGGAUGGAUGGAUAGAUGGGUGGAUGAGAGAUGAAUAAAUAGAUUGGUAAGUAUAUAGAUGAAUGGGUGGGUGAAUGGAUAAGAAGAUGGAUGAUAUGUAUGUGUGUGUGUGGGUUAAGGAUAGACGAUUGGAUAGAUGGAUGAAUGGGUGGGUAAGUAGACAGAUGAGAGGGUAAAUAUGAGGAUCAGUGGGGGUAUUGUUGAAUGGAUGAAAUCUACCCUUCUUUGGCUGUAAAUCAAGGAUAGCCCAUCUUCUCAAGGCUAAUGAUAAAGUUUGCUUCUCUAGAGAGAGAUAAAGUCAUAACCUGAGGUUCAUGUAGUAUGACAACGUGGUGUCACAAAAACCAGGAGCAAGGAUCAGAGGUAGGGUCCUGGCCAAGCUUUUUGUGAACUUGGUAAGUCUGUAGCAUGCCACCAUCGUGGGUGAUGGCCCAUCUUCUAGGGCCCCUUGUCAUUACUGCUGGGAACUGAAUUUUGUCCCCAAAUGCACAUGCUUAAGCCUAAAGCCCCCUGGGAUAUUUUUGAAGCUGAGCAUGGGAGGGCCUGGGCUUUUAUGUAGUCCUGAGCUGAGCUCCCCUGGUGGGACUUCUCCUUGUGAGGAGGGGCUCAGGCGGGUCACGAUGAGAAGGCAGUUUCCGCAAGCCCCCGUGCUUCUGUCGUCAACAGUAGGAUGGAUGAUGAUGAUUUCUUGCCUGUGGUGUGUUUUAUGUUGGCCUCAGCUCAAGUGUUCCACACACAAAGCAGAAAGCACUGGGACAAAGCUUCAGAUGCCCUUCUCCUAGAAGGCUGCCAAGCGCUUGAUGCACCAAGGACAGGCCCUUGUGGCAGCCGCAUGGUCCCCAAGGACACUGAGUGAUGUGCUGUCAAAACUCCCACCUCAUGAUGGCAGUGUCCACAAGCAAAGCCUUCUUACUUCACAGGACUCCAGCUUGGCCAGACUAUGGGCAACAGUAUUAAGUGAAAUGCAGAAAGUGAGACCCCCAGAUGAGGCAGGACAGCUGGACAAACCUUGGUUUGUAUGUGGGAAUCUGCCUAAGAGACGUGAAGAACAGACCAAGACCUGGGGUCACUCGUCAUGCCUCAUACAUCCUGCUGGGAUUAAAGCACAGGGAACACUUGCUAAUGACAGAGGGUCCUGCCCUUCUAUCAGGGAGAUCCAUAGGCCCCAGAGGAACCCAGAGGCGCAUGCACACUGGGCAAGCACUCUGCUGCGGAGUCCACCCCACACCGUUCGAAGAUUCCGAAGCUUCAGUGAUUCCCUUUGACGGCUUGGGAAGCAGAGGCACAUAGCUACGGAGGGUCUGAGAGUCCACACUCCCACAACUGCAGGUUGCAGUUUGUGGCCACUGUGAGCAUCCUGCACUCCCUGGGUCAACCCUCCCAACCGCAUCCUAAGGAGCCACACCUGCUGCACCUGCCCCUCGAGGAAGGCUCACAGGUGGAGACGUGCCCCAUCUUACUGAGGCAAAAGCCUGGACUCGGGGAUCCAAUGUCACUCUCUUCCCACUGUGCCAUCUUCCGAGGACACUGGGAACCAAACGAACGGCUCUCCAGGCUGGGAAGGAGGAAAGACACCCAGUCUGCUUCACCCCUACCUCACCCCCUGCCCCUACUCUGCCCGGCUCAUAGACAGCUAACAUGUGUUUCUAUGACAUAUGGAAACACAGGGGAACCCAGUGAGGGAGAAUGGAGGAGCGAAUGGAAAUUGGAGACAAUUGCUGUAUGCAUAUCUGAAUUUCCAUGGCCAUCUCAGACUGUACACAUGACUUCAGAGUGGUUGUUAAUCCCCCGGCCUCCAGGGUCUGACCACUCUUCUGGGUUGCACUUCUCUUCUUGGCCACCAUGGGGCACACUUCCCCCCAGUGAGCAGGAGCCAAGACUGAAAACCCAAGCUGGUCUUUCCUUUCCUGAAUGAACUCUCCAGGCCUCAUUCCUAGAACAGUCCAUAAUUUUUCUAAUAAAACAUCAUUAACUAUGGAAAGUCACCCACCAUA
Mesocricetus auratus (golden hamster) is the source of this 2119-nucleotide long non-coding RNA. RefSeq lists it as uncharacterized. The record is from RefSeq and is a predicted model, not a curated record. The transcript is spliced from 3 exons. NCBI's taxonomy places the organism in Eukaryota, Metazoa, Chordata, Mammalia, Rodentia, Cricetidae.